AAGCAAGAAGCGAAUAAUCGCAAUCAGUUUCGACCUGAUCAUUGGUAAGAGCUACCCUUACUUU
This 64-nucleotide transfer RNA is filed under the name Neotermes castaneus (southern dampwood termite). Its description in RNAcentral is "tRNA-Arg". The record is from RNAcentral. Lineage: Eukaryota; Metazoa; Arthropoda; Insecta; Blattodea; Kalotermitidae.